RNAcentral lists this ribosomal RNA (2893 nucleotides) under Acinetobacter baumannii. Its description in RNAcentral is "23S ribosomal RNA". It matches the Rfam family "Bacterial large subunit ribosomal RNA". The record is from RNAcentral. Lineage: Bacteria; Pseudomonadati; Pseudomonadota; Gammaproteobacteria; Moraxellales; Moraxellaceae.
AGUCAAGUAAUUAAGUGCAUGUGGUGGAUGCCUUGGCAGUCAGAGGCGAUGAAAGACGUGAUAGCCUGCGAAAAGCUCCGGGGAGGCGGCAAAUAUCCUUUGAUCCGGAGAUGUCUGAAUGGGGGAACCCACCUACUUUAAGGUAGGUAUUGCAACAUGAAUACAUAGUGUUGCAAGGCGAACGAGGGGAAGUGAAACAUCUCAGUACCCUUAGGAAAAGAAAUCAAUUGAGAUUCCCUCAGUAGCGGCGAGCGAACGGGGAUCAGCCCAUUAAGUUAUGUGUGUUUUAGUGGAACGCUCUGGGAAGUGCGAACGUAGAGGGUGAUAUUCCCGUACACGAAAGGGCACACAUAAUGAUGACGAGUAGGGCGAGGCACGUGAAACCUUGUCUGAAUAUGGGGGGACCAUCCUCCAAGGCUAAAUACUCCUGACUGACCGAUAGUGAACCAGUACCGUGAGGGAAAGGCGAAAAGAACCCCUGUGAGGGGAGUGAAAUAGAUCCUGAAACCGCAUGCAUACAAGCAGUGGGAGCACCUUCGUGGUGUGACUGCGUACCUUUUGUAUAAUGGGUCAGCGACUUAUAUUCAGUAGCGAGGUUAACCGUAUAGGGGAGCCGUAGGGAAAUCGAGUCUUAAUAGGGCGUUUAGUUGCUGGGUAUAGACCCGAAACCAGGCGAUCUAUCCAUGAGCAGGUUGAAGGUUGGGUAACACUAACUGGAGGACCGAACCCACUGUCGUUGAAAAGCCAGGGGAUGACUUGUGGAUAGGGGUGAAAGGCUAAUCAAGCCUGGUGAUAGCUGGUUCUCCCCGAAAGCUAUUUAGGUAGCGCCUCGGACGAAUACCAUAGGGGGUAGAGCACUGUUUCGGCUAGGGGGUCAUCCCGACUUACCAAACCGAUGCAAACUCCGAAUACCUAUGAGUACUAUCCGGGAGACAGACUGCGGGUGCUAACGUCCGUAGUCAAGAGGAAAACAAUCCAGACCGCCAGCUAAGGCCCCAAAAUCAUAGUUAAGUGGGAAACGAUGUGGGAAGGCAUAGACAGCUAGGAGGUUGGCUUAGAAGCAGCCACCCUUUAAAGAAAGCGUAAUAGCUCACUAGUCGAGUCGGCCUGCGCGGAAGAUGUAACGGGGCUAAAACUAUGUGCCGAAGCUGCGGAUGUAUACUUUGUAUACGUGGUAGGGGAGCGUUCUGUAAGCCGAUGAAGGUGUGUUGAGAAGCAUGCUGGAGGUAUCAGAAGUGCGAAUGCUGACGUGAGUAACGACAAAACGGGUGAAAAACCCGUUCGCCGAAAGACCAAGGGUUCCAGUCCAACGUUAAUCGGGGCUGGGUGAGUCGACCCCUAAGGCGAGGCCGAAAGGCGUAGUCGAUGGGAAAAUGGUUAAUAUUCCAUUACUUCUGUGUAAUGCGAUGAGAGGACGGAGAAGGCUAAAUCAGCCUGGCGUUGGUUGUCCAGGUGAAAGGAUGUAGGCAUGUAUCUUAGGCAAAUCCGGGGUACUCUAUGCUGAGAUCUGAUAGCAAGCUGUACUUGUACAGCGAAGUGGUUGAUGCCAUGCUUCCAGGAAAAGUCUCUAAGCUUCAGUUACACAGGAAUCGUACCCGAAACCGACACAGGUGGUCAGGUCGAGUAGACCAAGGCGCUUGAGAGAACUCUGCUGAAGGAACUAGGCAAAAUGGUACCGUAACUUCGGGAGAAGGUACGCUGUUGUUGGUGAUGGAACUCGCUUCCUGAGCUGACGACAGCCGCAGAAACCAGGCCGCUGCAACUGUUUAUUAAAAACAUAGCACUCUGCAAACACGAAAGUGGACGUAUAGGGUGUGAUGCCUGCCCGGUGCUGGAAGGUUAAUUGAUGGGGUUAGCGUAAGCGAAGCUCUUGAUCGAAGCCCCAGUAAACGGCGGCCGUAACUAUAACGGUCCUAAGGUAGCGAAAUUCCUUGUCGGGUAAGUUCCGACCUGCACGAAUGGCAUAAUGAUGGCGGCGCUGUCUCCAGCAGAGGCUCAGUGAAAUCGAAAUCGCUGUGAAGAUGCAGUGUACCCGCGGCUAGACGGAAAGACCCCGUGAACCUUUACUGCAGCUUGACACUGAACUUUGACCUUACUUGUGUAGGAUAGGUGGGAGGCUUUGAAGCUGGAACGCUAGUUCCAGUGGAGCCGUCCUUGAAAUACCACCCUGGUAAUGUUGAGGUUCUAACUCUGUCCCGUGAUCCGGGACGAGGACCGUGUCUGGUGGGUAGUUUGACUGGGGCGGUCUCCUCCUAAAGAGUAACGGAGGAGUACGAAGGUGCGCUCAGCGUGGUCGGAAAUCACGCGUAGAGUAUAAAGGCAAAAGCGCGCUUAACUGCGAGACCCACAAGUCGAGCAGGUACGAAAGUAGGUCUUAGUGAUCCGGUGGUUCUGUAUGGAAGGGCCAUCGCUCAACGGAUAAAAGGUACUCUGGGGAUAACAGGCUGAUACCGCCCAAGAGUUCAUAUCGACGGCGGUGUUUGGCACCUCGAUGUCGGCUCAUCUCAUCCUGGGGCUGAAGCAGGUCCCAAGGGUAUGGCUGUUCGCCAUUUAAAGAGGUACGCGAGCUGGGUUUAGAACGUCGUGAGACAGUUCGGUCCCUAUCUACCGUGGGCGCUGGAAAUUUGAGAGGAUCUGCUCCUAGUACGAGAGGACCAGAGUGGACGAACCUCUGGUGUACCGGUUGUGACGCCAGUCGCAUCGCCGGGUAGCUAUGUUCGGAAGGGAUAACCGCUGAAAGCAUCUAAGCGGGAAGCCUACCUCAAGAUAAGAUUUCCCUAGGACUUUAUGUCCUCUAAAGAGCCGUUCGAGACUAGGACGUUGAUAGGUUGGAUGUGGAAGCAUAGUGAUAUGUGAAGCUGACCAAUACUAAUUGCUCGUGAGGCUUGACUAU